AAGUCGUAACAAGGUUUCCGUAGGUGAACCUGCGGAAGGAUCAUUAACAGAUUCUCUCUGAAUCUAACCAUGUGUGAACUGUCUCUUUAAUCAUGGGUGUGGUGUAGUUGGUGCGGAAGGCGUCAUUUUGUGGUAAAACACUUGGUGGCGAACGAAUAGUGUCCAUUACCGCCAAUCAAACCCCAACCAUGAUCAUCCAACCAUUUAACUUUAUGACUGAAUAAAAAACAAACCUAGAAAACUUUUAGCAAUGGAUCUCUAGGCUCUU
Molecule: unclassified non-coding RNA, 268 nt
Filed under: fungal sp.
Lineage: Eukaryota; Fungi
Description: partial internal transcribed spacer region
Rfam family: Eukaryotic small subunit ribosomal RNA (bases 1-46)
Source: RNAcentral